UAGGGCAGGGAGCAGGAGUGUGCACACUGGGGGGUGUGUAGGGCAGGGGGGGGGCAGGCGUGUGCACAUGUCCGACAGCAAUCGUGUGUGCACGCUGGGGGAGGGGAAGCACGCGCGGAUGUAGGACAGCGACUGCCGUGUGCUUGGUGAGUGAGCAGAGGGAGGUGAAGUGUGUGUCCCCGGUGGGGAGGAGGAGAGCUGUGUGCACCUGGCGGGGUGGGGAGUGCGUCUGGGAGAAGCCGGUUAUCAGACACAGGUGGGGCACGGGGGUGCCCUCCCAACGCACCUGGUGUGGGAUGGUCCAUGCCGACCUCCCUCGGUCACGUGGUUCAGGGGGCACCUGGGUUUGAGCGUGCGGUAAUCGGCCACGUCUGUGGACCUGCUUCGGAAUUCUAGAAACGCCCCGAUGGUCACCACACCGUUGGCGGCUCUCGUCCUGGCCAGUGGUCGCCCUGGUGCUUGCCACGUGGUGCUCCUUGGUCCACCCUCGUCUGCCUUGGUCGGCUGGCUUUCCGCCCUUGGGCAGAGCCUGGCCGCCUGCCCCCUCCCCCGCCCCACCAGAGCCACAUCCACGUCUGCGAGGGUCUUCUCCCAGGCUGCGUAACCCCCUGCCGCCGCCAUCGGUUCUGACAAGUAUAGCUUUCGUCACAAGCGUGACGGCCCUGCUGCAGGGAGGUCUAGGGUGCCUGUGUGCCCGUGACCGGGGAAGGACACGCCUGAGAGCCAGACUCUGAAAUCAGGGUGGGGGGACAGCUUUCCGAACAGGCGCCAGGGCUGGGCCAGCCUGUACCGCCGCAGGAGUCUCGGGCCGGCCUUGUGACCCACCGCAGAGCCCGCACUGGGGCGUGACACCCCACCCUUCCUUCCCCGUGACCCCCCUGUCCCGCGCCGAUCCGUGGCCGCUCCCCACUCGCCAUCGCUCAGGGCCCACACCCCCUCCCCCCAGCACAUCACCAGACUUCGGUGCCCAGGAGCCCGGGCCCCGCGGACACACCGUCCCUGGAACUCUCUGGAGCAGGUGUCACACACACGGAACCAGCGGGCAGCUGCGGACGGAGACCUGUGUCCUGACCACCCUGCCCGCCCCCUUCCCCCCGGGGCCUCAAGGUGCUGGCAGGCGAUGGUGGCCUGACAGCCACUCCCAGCCUGUGUGGACUCGCUGUGCCCUGAGGAGGGGCCUCGGCGCCUCGGGAACCGAGGCCUUGCUUCCUGAGGCCCCUGGAGACCACCUGGUCACUGCCCGCCGGGAGGUGGGCUGGGGACGUGUCAUAAUUUUGACGAAGCCUGAUUUUUGUCUUUUUUCUUCUGUCACUUGUGCGUCUGGUGUCAUUACUAAGAAAUCACGGUCUCACCCAAGGUCGGCAGAAUUACCCCGGUGUUUCCUUGUGAGGGUUUUGUAGUUUCUGUUCUUACCUUUAGGCCUUUGAUCUCUUUGGGGUUAACUCUGUGUGUGUGUCAGUUAGGUUUCUGUGAGUAGACUGUCCCCCAGCGGAUGGACUUGGCACCUUCCCGGUGUCCUGUCAUUUACUUAGCCAUCUGCCCCGCUGGGACGUGAACCCGGAAGGGCAAGGCUCGUCGGCUUUCACGGACCCCCACAUCUCUGAGCCUAACGCCCCGGAGCUGCCUGGGCUCCCCUGGAAACCGGGGCACGUGCAUCUGAACCCAGCUGGGGGGAGGGGUGGUGUCCGGGGCCUUUGUGGAGGGGUGCAGUAACGGGUGGGGGGAUGGGCCGAUGGAUUCAUUGGUCCCUGGUGAGCCCCCUGAGGUCAGGGUCAGGGUUCACUUGGGGUCCAGCACAGGCAGUGGGAUAGAAGAAAGCCUGGACCGCAGCGGAUGACUGUGGCCAAGGUGCCUGGGGGGGGGGGGGGGGGGGGGGGCAGGAGGGGAGUCGCGGAGGCCGGGAAGGGGGAAGGGCCCUGGGAACGGUGUGCCCGGCCCUUGGUUCCGCAGACGCUCCCAGGCCUGCGUGACUCAGCAGGCUGGUGGCAGGAAUAGGAGGGGACCCCGGGGCCAAAGCUGGGGGUCCUGGUUGCUCCGGCCCCCAGACGCUAGACGGUGCUGCCUCCUGGCCCCACACCGAGCCCCGCUUCCCUUUGUGGGCAUCCUGCCGUCCCGCCCACGUGCCCCGCCGGCUGUGUGUGGCCCCGGAGCAGAGUGCCGGACCCUCCUUGGCUGGACCGUGGCAGCAGUGGCGCCCCGGUGCUGCCCGCGGGAACAGCAGAGGCCGUGACGUGAGCCGAACCUGUUCUGUGGUCCCACGCGUGCCCUGUCUUCCUGGUGCGCCUACUUGAAGAACCCCCGCCCCCACCCCAGCCUCACUUCGAGCCCCUGAGGCGCACGGGCCUGACCUCAUGGCCGCCACGUGUCUGCGUGUGUGCGUGGGUGUGCACGAGCACUUCCUGUCGGGAGCAGGAUAGGAGAUUCAGUUUUACGGAAGAGACAGAAGCCACAUCCAACCCCCGUGGGAGUGGACUGACAAGGGAGGGGAAGAGAAAGCCCGGAAGGGAACGAGUACGCUCAGGGUCCACAGAGGCGGAGGGAGCCACACCAUUCGAUGGGGAAAGAAUGGCCUCCUCCGCAAGCAGAGUUUUGCCAGCUGGAUUUGCACGUGCCAAGGAAGGAAGGUGACCCCACCUGACCUCUGUCAGCAGCCCUCAAAGUGGAUCGAGGCCCCGGAUGUCGGGGCUGAAACUAGAGCUCCCAGAAGCCAACGUGGGGGCAUCUGUUGUGGCCUCAGGUCGGGCACAGGCGCCGACUGCCCCAGCACAGAGACCGCAGGCUCAGACUGGUGGGCGGGGAGAUGGCCACCCACCCACCCACAGGAGGGAGGAGGUGGGCGCAGACCCCGAUCUCACGGACUGUGGGAGCUUCUCUAGGUCGACAGAAGGGCAGCCCAACUCUAAAACGGACAAAGGGUGUGCGUCGACCUCUGUCCAGAGCAGACGAUGCAGGUGGCCUUUGAGCGAGUGCCGAGGAGCUCAGUGUCACGGGCGUUGGGGAGGGGCCGGUCAGAGCAGGGUGGCCCUGUGACCAAAGACAGACUGUGACCCGUGUCGCUGAAGACGCAGCCGUUCUCGGCAGUGUUCUUCCCUCGUGUUCUCAGUGGAUCGUGUUUCCUUACUUCUCGAGGAUGUCAGUAACACCACUUUGAAGUCCCCUUCUCUCCACACGACGUUUAUCUUGUUCAGGUCGCUUUUGGUUUGUUUGCUUGGCCUCUGACUUUGAGAUCAGACACUUUGUUCUGACGUGAUGCCCUGUGGGGUCAGGAAGGGCCUAGAAACCUGGCCAGGGCUGCGCGCACCCCAGGGGCCCAUGUCCUGAGCUGAGACCCAGAUCCUGAGCUGAUGGGCUGGGCUCAGGAUCUGGGUUUUCUCUCCUCUGUCCUCAAUUUCACGGUAGAAUCUUCUAGUCUUGCUGCAGGACACAGGCUUGGCCACCAACACCGGGGAAGCCUGUGCAGGGAGGUGGGGGGGGGGACAACAAGGGGUGGGAGAGGGUCCGCAUGCGGGGGGAGUGAUGUGGGGGCCCCCUUCCCCAUCGAAUGGUCUGGGCGCCCUUGUCGAGAGCCAGCUGACCGUGGGUGGAGGGGUUCCUGCCUGGGCCCUGCUCUGUCCCCUUGCCCCGCGUUCCUGUCUCUGCCUCCACUGCUGAAGCUUUGGAGUUGAGGCCUGUGAGUCACUACCUGCUUUCUGAGCAGACCUGGCCGCCCCUUCACUCUCCCUUCUGAGCAGGACCAGCCGGGCCCAGGGCCGGGGAGCCAGAACUCGGUUUUAUCGGCGGGGGCUCCACCCUCAGACCCCCGGGGUGUGUGUGUGUGUGUGUGUGUGUGUGUGUGUGUGUGUGUGUGUGUGUGUGUCAGAAGAUUUCUCUCCUCACAAACACGCCUGUUAACUGUCGACUGGCUGGCCUUUCGGGAGGGGGUGACAUCCGAUGGCUGCAGGGCCCCGAGCCCUCGAAAAAGGCCGGGAGACUGGCCUGCCCUCCCCGCCUCCCCCAGCCCCGUGGUCCCACAGCAGCGGCACGGGGUGGGAACAGGGGUGCGGCACACGGGGCCCCGCACCGUCAGCGUGCCCGGGGCCGAGAUGACGCCGAGCUCUGCUGCCUGGAGGAGGAG
This is a long non-coding RNA of Leopardus geoffroyi (Geoffroy's cat), 4114 nucleotides long. RefSeq lists it as uncharacterized. The record is from RefSeq and is a predicted model, not a curated record. NCBI's taxonomy places the organism in Eukaryota, Metazoa, Chordata, Mammalia, Carnivora, Felidae. The transcript has 2 exons.